Molecule: long non-coding RNA, 1104 nt
Filed under: Apteryx rowi (Okarito brown kiwi)
Lineage: Eukaryota; Metazoa; Chordata; Aves; Apterygiformes; Apterygidae
Description: lncRNA (ENSARWG00000015499.1)
Source: RNAcentral
UUGAGAGUGUGAGGGAUAACACGCUGAAGCUUGCAUUUGGCGAAAAUGUUAUUGAAACAGAUAAGCUAAGUGUAGUUAUUGUACCUGGGAUGUGAAAGCACAAAAAGAAAACCCUAAUUAAAUAGCAGUUAAUAUAAAGAUAGUAUUGUUUUGUUCUGUUAUCUCACUACAUGCUCUAAACAUUUCUGAUGUUAGACAUCAGGCUGAAACUGCCAUUGGCCUUUAAAUAAAAUGGUUUGAGAAAAGCCGACUAGGACCAAAUAAGAGCUAAAUUAAAUAAUCCAAAUAAGAGCUAAACAAAGUAGUGUAGAGUUUACCAGUUAUUCUAACAAAAUCCUAAGGCUGUCCUUAGAUUUAAGAUAAUGGGGAAAAAAAAAGUAGUGUUGUCUUUGGACAACAUGAUAUUGCUACCUCCUUUUUCCUGCAGUUUUAUUGCAUUUUAUUGGCAAAACACGGAAAGCAAGAGAAUGAAAAGUGCACGAAUUUAAAGACUAAACAUCAAGAGUUGGAAAUGUUUCCAGUUUUGCCAUCACUAAUGUGUGUCAAUUGCUUUCUUUCUGUAUGUUGGGAGCACAACCUAAUCAUAAUUUGAGAAGAGAUUAAUUUCUAUACUUGAAUGGUUUUAUUAAAAUUGUGUUUUCUCCACAUGGUGGCUGUGCAAAUCAACAUGUUUCAGGAAUGGCUUUUCAGCCUGAAGAGUGCUAUCUUAGACUUUUGAGAUGCCUCAAAAAAGAAACUUCAGGUUGAAAAGAGUAGUUGUGGUUAUACAUAUGGUGUCUUAAAACGUGCACAUUGCACGAAGUGUUCCCAGCUUUUGGAAGGAAAGAUGCUUGAGCUUGUGUUUCAUGACUGGUGUUGCUUUUAAAUUUGCACUUUUAAAAAUUCAUAUAAUUAAAUUCAAAAACAUAGUUUGUUUUUGUUGUUGUAAGGGCUCUGGAGUGAAUGGCUGUGAAUUAUCCACUGUGUAUUUCAAACAGAUAAGAAGCUGUGGCUGUCAGGUCCAGUAAAUACAAGCAAGAAGUUAGUAAAAUGCAGUCAUCCAUGCUUGCUGAUUUAUCGUUUCAGGAAAAUAAAAACCUAACAGAAUCUUGGAAGAUUAUUCCU